This 2195-nucleotide long non-coding RNA is filed under the name Salmo salar (Atlantic salmon). RNAcentral's name for it is "lncRNA (ENSSSAG00000098098.1)". The record is from RNAcentral. Lineage: Eukaryota; Metazoa; Chordata; Actinopteri; Salmoniformes; Salmonidae.
ACUGUGGGACCUUAUAUAGACAGGUGUGUACCUUACCAAAUCAUGUCCAAUCAAUUGAAUUUACCACAGGUGGACUCCAAUCAAGUUGUAGAAACAUCUCAAGGAUGAUCAAUGGAAACAGGAUGCAGAUGAGCUCCAUUUUGAGUCUCAUAGCAAAGGGUCUGAAUACUUAUGUAAAUAACAAUUUAAAUAAAAAUAAAUAUAUAUUUUUGCAAACAUUUCUAAAAACCUGUUUUCGCUUUGUCAUUAUUGGGUAUUGUGUGUAGAUUGAUGAGAUAAAAAUUUAGAACAAAGAUGUAACGUAACAGAAUGUGGGAAAUAAAUGAAGGGGUCUGAAAACUUUCUGAAUGGUUACAAUGCAUGUGGUGCAAGCAAAGGAUUUCGACUGUGAGUCAAUGACACCAACACAGCUUCCAUAAGAACAACCUGCAUGGGCUCUGGGUUGCGUACAUUGUCUGAUGCAAUGUUAAAGUCAUGCAAUAGGAGGACUAUUCUGGGAGACAGGAGCAUACUGCAUUCCAUAAUUCAACAGAACCAGUGGUGUAGUGGUGCCUGGAGAAGUGGGUAUAUACUUGUUAUGCCAACAUCUUUCCAAACAGCCCGCCAGGCAAAGGGAAUUAUAUGAGAAGCAGUGACAUACACUCUGAAUGAUCUAAAUUGAUGAAUCCCAUAUUGGUCUUUCACCGUCAGGCCAACCCAAGCUGUACUGGUCAUAUUGGUCUUUCACAGUCAGGCCAACCCAAGCUGUACUGGUCAUAUUGGUCUUUCACCGUCAGGCCAACCCAAGCUGUACUGUUCAUAUUGGUCUUUCACAGUCAGGCCAACCCAAGCUGUACUGUUCAUAUUGGUCUUUCACCGUCAGGCCAACCCAAGCUGUACUGGUCAUAUUGGUCUUUCACAGUCAGGCCAACCCAAGCUGUACUGUUCAUAUUGGUCUUUCACAGACAGGCCAACCCAAGCUGUACUGUUCAUAUUGGUCUUUCACAGUGAGGCCAACCCAAGCUGUACUGUUCAUAUUGGUCUUUCACAGUCAGGCCAACCCAAGCUGUACUGGUCAUAUUGGUCUUUCACAGUCAGGCCAACCCAAGCUGUACUGUGCAGUAGGCUAACAGUAGACCUACUAUUGAAACCGAAAAACUGAGUCAGAAAUACACAGGUUUCAGAUUUUCCCCAAUUGUUUCAGGUUCUCGUUUUUCAACACAAUAUUUUUAACAGAAAAACAACCAAAGUGUAUGUUCUAAGUCCAUGACUUUUGAGUUAUGGGGGAAAAAUCUAAGAAAAUUCAAUUUUUUUGAGAGUAGUUACCCUUUAAUUGAAGUGUGCAAGUACCUAGCCCUGUUUGACUAGUAGUGUUUCUCUAGCACAUGAGAUGGAGUUUGCAAAAUAAAUGACCACUGUAUUGACUCAGAUAAUCAUGAUAUCAUUCUGACAGGUAGGCAUAGGCUACUUUUUAGCUAGUUAACGUUCAAUAGAGAAGGUUUUUGUGAAGGCCUUUCCAUCUACCAGAAGACGGUUAGGUCUAUCAUUAGCAUUGAUAUGUUUUUCCUGUUCCUUAAUGGUUUGAAACCUGGACGUGUUACUUCAUAUUCUGAGGCAUGUCUUACCUUGCUUCAAAGUAGCCUAUAGCCAAAAUCCCACCAUAGAAACGUUGAGCCACUUAUUUUAUAAAAACUUACUCAUUAUGCGUUCUCUUCUUUUAUUGGUUUUCUUUCAACUUUCUUUAAUUGUCAAGCAGCCAAAGACAUUAUCCGAAUCAUAUUAGCAACCCAUGAUAGUUGUUGCAUCUUCGCCCAUUUCUAACGGAUAUUUCCAUCUUUAUCCAUGAUAGUUGUUGCAUCUUUGUUCCAUUUCUAACGGAUAUUUCCAUCUUUAUCCAUGAUAGUUGUUGCAUCUUUGUUCCAUUUCCAUCUCUACCCAUGAAACCACUUGCAUGUGCGGUGCGCAUUUUAGAAUUGUGUUUUUCGCACAAAUUCCAUUUUGGAACACUCACCCGUAUUCCUACCGCCGUGUGCACAUUGCUGCAAGUAAAAUGUGAAUAAAUAAUAGAUAUCAUCAUUUUAAGCUAAACAUUCCAACCUGUUAAAGCUAAACAUUCCGACCACAUACACAUAUACACACACACACACACACACACACAUACACACAUACACACACACACACACACAUACACAUACACAUACACAUAUACAUGCACA